This is a long non-coding RNA of Musa acuminata subsp. malaccensis (wild Malaysian banana), 1047 nucleotides long. RefSeq lists it as uncharacterized. NCBI's taxonomy places the organism in Eukaryota, Viridiplantae, Streptophyta, Magnoliopsida, Zingiberales, Musaceae. The record is from RefSeq and is a predicted model, not a curated record.
CCCGACCCUGACCAGAUGCAGCGCGAGAAGGGAUUCAUCCUUCGGGAGUGGCGCCGGCGAGGGACUUUCCUUGUAGAUCCGAUCAUUCGUCGAUUCGCCAAAAUGCCAUCUUGCUUGAGGAGGAGAGGAAGGAAAAGGAAUGUUGAAAUCAAAUUAUCGCUGAAGCUGAACAGUACAAGCAAGCUUUCUAUGAGAAAGGGAAAUUGAACUGUGAGACAAACAAGUUGCAAAACAGAGAAAGAGAGAAGCUAUACCUCUCCAACCGGGAGAAGUUCCACACAGAUGCCGAUAAACAAUACUGGAAAGCAAUUGCUAAGCUUAUAACCAAUGAGAUAGCCAACAUCGAGAAGAGAGGGAAGAAAGAGGAGCAGAAGCCUUCACAGACCAAAGCCUGGAAAGCCCACUGAUCUCUCGACGAUGCGCCAGAUUUUGGUAAAGCUGAAGCAUACACCCACACCACCUUCCUCUUCACCAGCCAAAGAUGUUGCUGCAGCCGAUGAGAUCUCUGUGCCAGAAGGGCAAGCAGUCAAACCAGAGGUAGCUGCAACUGCUUGAUCCUCACAUGCAACUAUUCGAUAUUUAUGUCGAAUGAUUUCCGACCAUACCAGUGAGUUCUGCACUCCAUCGGUUGUCCUACCUUUUGCUAAAACGGUUCAUCGGGAAUCAGGUUUGUCCUACAUUGCUCAUCAGAUAUGUUGAUAAACUUUCAACCGUCGGCUUUUCUGUCUCAGGUUCUUAUCAAGUUGGACGUGCUGCUGUUGCAAUAGAGUUUUGUGAUGUUUUUAUACCCAAUUGCAAUGCAAUUUGUGGUCUGUAAUAUCUAAUUAGACCAUGUAUACUGGCUGCUGGUAGCAAAAGAGUUGAACAUUUCAGUCCAAGUACUCAUUGUGCGAGUAAAAAGGCUAAACUGUAUUCGAGUUAUAGCGAGGGAGACCUGUAACCCUUUCCAAGAUUAGAUAUAGCUAUGCAUCAUGUUGCCAAACGAUGUUUCUUUCGACUGAAGAAGACAGAUGUGAGAAGAUAGGCAUCAAUCACAAAGUGACAUGU